RNAcentral lists this long non-coding RNA (627 nucleotides) under Ananas comosus (pineapple). Its description in RNAcentral is "long non-coding RNA (ACOM_LNC020551)". The record is from RNAcentral. Lineage: Eukaryota; Viridiplantae; Streptophyta; Magnoliopsida; Poales; Bromeliaceae.
UAAAAAAUUACAAUUAUAUUGUAGUUGGAGAUGCAUGUGGUUAGAAAUACAGCAGUUGCAAUUAGAUGCAUCUUGUUUAGUUGGAUGUAGUAGAAAGCAUUUCUGCUAUAAAUAAUUUGUUUGGUGGUAUAUAGUUGAAAAAUAAUUUUUAAAAUUUUAUCAUUUUAUGUAUAUAAUUGUGAGAUUACCUUCAAUAUGCAAAAAAUAUUUUUUAUUUAAAAAAUAAUUAAGGAAGUAGGUAUAUCUUUUAUUUAAAGUUACUCUCUUCAACUGCUGCAGUUGGAACUGCGGUCAAUUUGGGCGUAGUUUAAACUGCUGUAGUUAGAUACUUUCUCACUUUAGUACCCUGUGGUUUAAAGUGUAUCAAUUUAGUGUCUUGUGAUUUCAUUUUUAUAAUUUUAUUAUCGAUUUCACUAAUUUUUUUUUAUUAAAUCAGUAACGAAAUUAAAACUAAAAAGUACUAAAGUGAAUAUUCGAUAAAUCUAAGUAGAGUAUCUGAAGUUUUUUGCAUAUAAUUUAACAAAAUAUCAACAGAAAAGUUGAUGAAAAGAUAAAAAUAAAACCAGAACAUACUAACUCGAUACAGUUUAGAUCACAGAAUACUAAAAUAAGAAACCGUGAAGUUAC